CUCGUCGGCCCCCACUGUCAACAGCCGCUCCCAACCUCUCUCAAGUUUGUCUCUACUCAAACUCAAUAGCUCUCAACAUCUCUCAAGUCUGUCUUGGUUGAUUUGAAGGGAUUGUUGCUGCAGUGAAUUAACUGUUUGGAGAUUUCAGUUUUGAGCUUGGAGCAUUUGGUUUUGUAGGCCUAAAAUGUGGAAGAUUGGAUUUUUAUGACACAAAAAGAACUUGCGGUUUUAAACCGCUAAUUCACGGUAA
This is a long non-coding RNA of Prunus dulcis (almond), 250 nucleotides long. RefSeq lists it as uncharacterized. The record is from RefSeq and is a predicted model, not a curated record. Lineage: Eukaryota; Viridiplantae; Streptophyta; Magnoliopsida; Rosales; Rosaceae. The transcript has 2 exons.